Molecule: long non-coding RNA, 347 nt
Organism: Pezoporus flaviventris
Lineage: Eukaryota; Metazoa; Chordata; Aves; Psittaciformes; Psittacidae
Exons: 4
Source: RefSeq, a predicted model, not a curated record
CCCUUGUCCUGCUGGCAGCCCAGCCUAGCCCUUGCGGGAGCGAGCAGGCAAAGACCUGCAUACACAGAGUCUUCAAGGUCUCACCGCCUCGCAAGGCGCUGAAGCGCAGGAAGCUAACGAUCCUCCAGCUGCAUGCACCAGCCUGCCAGAACUGGCUAUUCCAAUACAUGCUGGAGCCGGAGGACCACGCUGCCAGCAGGACCCAAGUGGGACUGCGAGACGAGGAAGAGAUGCAAGUUGACAUCAAGCCAGGGGAUGACGAGGAGAUGGAGGUAGACAUCAGGUUGGAAGAUGAAAAGGAGAUGGAAGUGGACUAACUAGCAGGCCCAUCAAGAAGGAGGAGGAAG